This 253-nucleotide ribosomal RNA is filed under the name uncultured bacterium. RNAcentral describes it as "partial 16S ribosomal RNA". It matches the Rfam family "Bacterial small subunit ribosomal RNA", at positions 524 to 776 of the family's 1533-position model. The record is from RNAcentral.
UACGUAGGGUGCAAGCGUUGUCCGGAAUUAUUGGGCGUAAAGAGCGUGUAGGCGGUCCGGUAAGUCCGUUGUGAAAGUCAGGGGCUCAACCCUUGAAUGCCGGCGGAUACUGUCGGGCUAGAGUCCGGAAGAGGCGAGUGGAAUUCCUGGUGUAGCGGUGAAAUGCGCAGAUAUCAGGAAGAACACCCGUGGCUAAGGCGGCUCUCUAGUACGGUACUGACGCUGAGACGCGAAAGCGUGGGGAGCGAACAGG